GCCCUAUACUGCAGUCGAACGAACUCUGGUAUUGAUUGGUGCUUGCAUCAUGAUUUACAUUUGAGUGAGUGGCGAACUGGUGAGUAACACGUGGGAAACCUGCCCAGAAGCGGGGGAUAACACCUGGAAACAGAUGCUAAUACCGCAUAACAACUUGGACCGCAUGGUCCGAGUUUGAAAGAUGGCUUCGGCUAUCACUUUUGGAUGGUCCCGCGGCGUAUUAGCUAGAUGGUGGGGUAACGGCUCACCAUGGCAAUGAUACGUAGCCGACCUGAGAGGGUAAUCGGCCACAUUGGGACUGAGACACGGCCCAAACUCCUACGGGAGGCAGCAGUAGGGAAUCUUCCACAAUGGACGAAAGUCUGAUGGAGCAACGCCGCGUGAGUGAAGAAGGGUUUCGGCUCGUAAAACUCUGUUGUUAAAGAAGAACAUAUCUGAGAGUAACUGUUCAGGUAUUGACGGUAUUUAACCAGAAAGCCACGGCUAACUACGUGCCAGCAGCCGCGGUAAUACGUAGGUGGCAAGCGUUGUCCGGAUUUAUUGGGCGUAAAGCGAGCGCAGGCGGUUUUUUAAGUCUGAUGUGAAAGCCUUCGGCUCAACCGAAGAAGUGCAUCGGAAACUGGGAAACUUGAGUGCAGAAGAGGACAGUGGAACUCCAUGUGUAGCGGUGAAAUGCGUAGAUAUAUGGAAGAACACCAGUGGCGAAAGCGGCUGUCUGGUCUGUAACUGACGCUGAGGCUCGAAAGUAUGGGUAGCAAACAGGAUUAGAUACCCUGGUAGUCCAUACCGUAAACGAUGAAUGCUAGUGUUGGAGGGUUUCCGCCCUUCANNGCUGCAGCUUACGCAUUAAGCAUUCCGCCUGGGGAGUACGGCGCAAGCUGAAACUCAAA
Molecule: ribosomal RNA, 890 nt
Filed under: Lactobacillus sp. 59DCEP01MX
Lineage: Bacteria; Bacillati; Bacillota; Bacilli; Lactobacillales; Lactobacillaceae
Description: bacterial SSU rRNA
Rfam family: Bacterial small subunit ribosomal RNA
Source: RNAcentral